This 507-nucleotide long non-coding RNA is filed under the name Oryza brachyantha (malo sina). RNAcentral's name for it is "long non-coding RNA (OBRA_LNC003509)". Lineage: Eukaryota; Viridiplantae; Streptophyta; Magnoliopsida; Poales; Poaceae. The record is from RNAcentral.
UCUGUCGACUUGGAGGUUGGAGCGAUGGUGCGUGUGUGCAUCACUGUACUUUCCCUAACUCCCCUCGCUGGUCCUUGCUAGUCGGCCGUGUUGAUCCUGACAUUUUUGGAUAGAGGAUCGUAAUAGAACCAUCCGUGAGUGUGACCACGAUGAUUUGUUUAGAUUUUUUUUUGUUUUGGAAGAGACUAGUUCCAAGGUUGUGCUGUGUGUUAACUCACCUAUUAGUAUAUACAUUCUUUCUUUCGCCGAUGAACAACUACUAGUUCACUUCGUGUGGUUUACAAACUAUUUACAUUACUUUGAAAAAAUAUCAUUUCACCAUUAUAGUUCCAUUCUAUGUUGCUUAAACUAAUAUUUUUUUGUUUCAUAGAUUUGCAUUUUGGAAGCAUUCUGAUUAACCUGCGGAUUUCCCAAUGGUGUGCACGCUUGAGGCUUGCCUAUAUCAGAUUCAAUCUCUACUUCGACAUGCAUGGUAGAAGGAAGAUACUAAACUAUUUUCUCUGCCUU